GACGAACGCUGGCGGCGUGCUUAACACAUGCAAGUCGAACGAGAGCGUAGAGACAGCUUGCUUUUUCUACAAUCUAGUGGCAAACGGGUGAGUAACGCGUAAACAACCUGCCCUACGGAUGGGGACAACAGCUGGAAACGCCUGCUAAUACCGAAUACGUUCCGAAAGUCGCAUGACUAUCGGAAGAAAGGAUGGCCUCUAUUUAUAAGCUAUCGCCGGAGGAGGGGUUUGCGUUUGAUUAGCGAGGUGGGGGGGUAAAGGCGCACCAAGGCGACGAUCCGGAGACGGUCAGAGAGGAAGAACGGCCAGAAUGGAACGGAAGCACGGUCCAAUCGCCUACGGGAGGCGGCAGAGGGGAAUCUUCCGGGAAGGGCGAAAGCCUGACGGAGAAACGCCGCGGGAGUGAAGACGGGCGUCGGGUUGUAAAGCUCUGUUAUACGGGACGAAUAAUCUUGUGGUUAAUACCCAUGAGAAGUGACGGUACCGUAAGAGAAAGCCACGGCUAACUACGUG
Molecule: ribosomal RNA, 513 nt
Filed under: uncultured bacterium
Lineage: Bacteria
Description: partial 16S ribosomal RNA
Rfam family: Bacterial small subunit ribosomal RNA
Source: RNAcentral